GGAUUGGCAAUGGGCGAAGCCUGAUCAGCCAUGCCGCGUGUGUGAAGAAGGCCUUAGGGUUGUAAAGCACUUUCAGUAGGGAGGARCCWRCAGCGUUAAUCCCGCAGUGAGAUGACGAUACCUACAGAAGAAGCUCCGGCNACUCG
This 146-nucleotide ribosomal RNA is filed under the name uncultured marine bacterium. Its description in RNAcentral is "partial small subunit ribosomal RNA". It matches the Rfam family "Bacterial small subunit ribosomal RNA", at positions 359 to 503 of the family's 1533-position model. The record is from RNAcentral.